UACGUAGGGAGCAAGCGUUGUCCGGAAUCAUUGGGCGUAAAAGCGCGCGUAGGCGGCCUCAUAAGUCCGUUGUGAAAGUCAAAGGCUCAACCUUUGAAAGCCGAUGGAUACUGUGAGGCUAGAGUCCGGAAGAGGCGAGUGGAAUUCCUGGUGUAGCGGUGGAAUGCGCAGAUAUCAGGAGGAACACCAAUAGCGAAGGCAGCUCGCUGGGACGGUACUGACGCUAAGGCGCGAAAGCGUGGGGAGCGAACAGG
This 254-nucleotide ribosomal RNA is filed under the name uncultured bacterium. RNAcentral describes it as "partial 16S ribosomal RNA". It matches the Rfam family "Bacterial small subunit ribosomal RNA", at positions 524 to 776 of the family's 1533-position model. The record is from RNAcentral.